This 565-nucleotide ribosomal RNA is filed under the name uncultured archaeon. RNAcentral describes it as "bacterial SSU rRNA". It matches the Rfam family "Archaeal small subunit ribosomal RNA", at positions 326 to 896 of the family's 1478-position model. The record is from RNAcentral.
CGGGGUGCAGCAGGCGCGAAAACUCUACAAUGCAGGCAACUGCGAUAGGGGAACAUCGAGUGAUACUCAUAUUGGGUGUCUGUCCUUCCGUCUAAAAAACGGGAGUUAGCAAGGGCCGGGCAAGACCGGUGCCAGCCGCCGCGGUAAUACCGGCGGCUCGAGUGGUGGCCGAUAUUAUUGAGUCUAAAGGGUCCGUAGCCGGCUUGGCAAGUCUCUUGGGAAAUCCGGCGGCUUAACCGUCGGUCGUCCGGGAGAUACUACUUUGCUUGGGACUGGGAGAGGCGUGAGGUACUCAGGGGGUAGGAGUGAAAUCCUGUAAUCCUUUGGGGACCACCGGUGGCGAAGGCGUCACGCCAGAACAGGUCCGACGGUGAGGGACGAAAGCUAGGGGCACGAACCGGAUUAGAUACCCGGGUAGUCCUAGCCGUAAACGAUGCUCGCUAGGUGUCACGACAAUCGUGAAUUGUCGUGGUGCCGUAGGGAAGCCGUGAAGCGAGCCACUUGGGAAGUACGACCGCAAGGUUAAACUUAAAGGAAUUGGCGGGGGAGCACAAGGGCGAAUCGC